This is a long non-coding RNA of Pan troglodytes (chimpanzee), 626 nucleotides long. RefSeq lists it as uncharacterized. The record is from RefSeq and is a predicted model, not a curated record. NCBI's taxonomy places the organism in Eukaryota, Metazoa, Chordata, Mammalia, Primates, Hominidae. The transcript has 3 exons.
CUAAAGUGGAAGUAUAAUAGGAAGUCCUAUUCUACCAUUCCCGGAAGGAGAAAAGCUAGAAACAUCUGGGAAUCAGCACCAAUCACAGACGUAUUAUAAGAGGACUGUGCUAGACACUCUUAGUGAUGCAGAGAUAAAGAAAACCUUGUGACCGUGCAGUGAUGAUAGAUGAUUCCAGAUUUUGCCACACAGUGUCAACUGGUUUCUCUCCUUCACGGAAAAAAAAAAAGGCAUAUGGAUGAAGGUGAAAAUAAAGGAGGACACAGCAAGAAAGGAACUGUCUACAAGCCAUGGAGAGAGCUCUCAGCAGAACCCGACAGUGCUGACACCUUAGAUCUUUGUUAAUGAAUGCAUUAACAUUCAUUAAAAUCCAUUAAUCUUGGAUCUCUAGCCUCUGGGAUUGUGAGAAAAUACAUUUCUGUUGUUUAAGCCACUCAGUAUACAGUAUUUUGUCAUGGCAGCCCAAGAGGCCUGAAACAAUUGUCAAACAUUUUGUUACGAGGGAGAGCUGAUAGGAACUACAGGAGAGAAGUUCUCUGUUUCUUUUUUUUUUUUUUUUAAUUUCCCUUACCUUGUUCUUAUGCCUAGCCCAUGUCCAUUUAUAUUAAAUAAACUGUACUAACUGC